This is a non-coding RNA of Potamilus streckersoni, 73 nucleotides long. NCBI's taxonomy places the organism in Eukaryota, Metazoa, Mollusca, Bivalvia, Unionida, Unionidae. The record is from the annotation of a GenBank genome assembly.
GAUCCGGUAGCCUAGUGGUUAGAGCGCUAGCCUCGGAUGCGGGAGGUCGUGGGUUCGAUCCCCAGUCGAGUCA